Molecule: ribosomal RNA, 468 nt
Filed under: uncultured bacterium
Lineage: Bacteria
Description: partial 16S ribosomal RNA
Rfam family: Bacterial small subunit ribosomal RNA
Source: RNAcentral
GACGAACGCUGGCGGCGUGCUUAACACAUGCAAGUCGAACGGAAACGCCCUGCUAGCGUGGGGUGCCCGAGUGGCGAUCGCGUGAGUAACACGUGUGUAACCUACCCUUGAUUUUGGGAUAACUUCACGAAACUGGGGCUAAUACCGGAUAGCAGCUCCUGUACCAUGGAGGGCGUUGGAUAGUUGCGGCGGUUGGGGAUGGACUCGCGGCUUAUCAGCUUGUUGGUGGGCUAGUGGCUUACCAAGGCAUUGACGGGUAGCCGGCCGGGGAGCGUGACCGGCCACAUUGGUACUGAGGUACGGACCAGUGGCCAACGGGGGGCAGCAGUGGCGAAUAUUACACAAUGGGCCGAAGCCUGAUACAAAAGCGCCGGGUGCGGGAUGACGGCCUUCUGGUUGUGAACCGCUUUCGCCUGAGACGAAGCGUGACUGACGGUAAUGAGUAAAGAAGCACCGGCUAACUACGUG